This is a non-coding RNA of Macaca mulatta (Rhesus monkey), 211 nucleotides long. The record is from RefSeq and is a predicted model, not a curated record. NCBI's taxonomy places the organism in Eukaryota, Metazoa, Chordata, Mammalia, Primates, Cercopithecidae.
AGCAGGGCUGUCUGUUUGCGUGGGGCUGUCUCCCUGUAAUGAGAACCACCGCUGGGAGCUGUUUAGACAAAACCGACUCAGCGCUCCGGAGCCGCGCGGGCCUCCAAAUGCAAAGGGGGACCCCGUGAAUGUGAAGAUAUUUGGAAAGUCUUCACCACAGAAUGUGAUUUCAGGAAUGAUGGAACAAUAAAUGAGAAGCUGGUAUUAAUAA